This 254-nucleotide ribosomal RNA is filed under the name uncultured bacterium. Its description in RNAcentral is "partial 16S ribosomal RNA". It matches the Rfam family "Bacterial small subunit ribosomal RNA", at positions 524 to 776 of the family's 1533-position model. The record is from RNAcentral.
GACGAACCGUGCGAACGUUGUUCGGAAUCACUGGGCUUAAAGGGCGCGUAGGUGCGGCUGUCAAGUCUGGGGUGAAAUGCCGCGGCUCAACCGUGGAACUGCCUUAGAUACUGACGGCCUCGAGGGAGGUAGGGGCGUGCGGAACUGUAGGUGGAGCGGUGAAAUGCGUUGAUAUCUACAGGAACUCCGGUGGCGAAAGCGGCGCGCUGGACCUCUUCUGACGCUGAGGCGCGAAAGCUAGGGGAGCAAACGGG